Molecule: ribosomal RNA, 490 nt
Filed under: uncultured bacterium
Lineage: Bacteria
Description: bacterial SSU rRNA
Rfam family: Bacterial small subunit ribosomal RNA
Source: RNAcentral
GGUUAACGCUGGCGGCGUGCCUAACACAUGCAAGUCGAACGGUUCUAAGCGCGAGCUUAGGAUAGUGGCGAACGGGUGAGUAAAAGGUAGGAAUCUACCCCUUGGACGGAGAUAGCUACUGGAAACGGUAGGUAAACUUCGAUAAGCCCGAGAGGGGAAAGUGGUGAGACAGCCGAGGGAUGAGCCUACUCUCCAUCAGGUAGUUGGUGAGAUAAAAGCUUACCAAGCCGAUGACGGAUAACCGGUGUGAGAGCAUGAACGGUCACAAGGGCACUGAGAGACGGGCCCUACUCCUACGGGAGGCAGCAGUGGGGAAUCUUGGACAAUGGGCGAAAGCCUGAUCCAGCGACGCCGCGUGGAGGAAGAAGUCCUUCGGGAUGUAAACUUCUGAACUAGCCGAAUAAAAGGCCUGUGGACACACAGGAGAAGAAAGUAGGCUAGGAAAAGUCCCGGCUAACUACGUGCCAGCAGCCGGGUAAAGCUACGUAGA